RNAcentral lists this ribosomal RNA (424 nucleotides) under uncultured bacterium. RNAcentral describes it as "bacterial SSU rRNA". It matches the Rfam family "Bacterial small subunit ribosomal RNA", at positions 355 to 796 of the family's 1533-position model. The record is from RNAcentral.
UGGGGAAUCUUGCACAAUGGAGGAAACUCUGAUGCAGCGACGCCGCGUGAGCGAUGAAGCCCUUCGGGGUGUAAAGCUCUUUCGACGGGAACGAUAAUGACGGUACCCGAAGAAGAAGCUGCGGCUAACUACGUGCCAGCAGCCGCGGUAAUACGUAGGCAGCAAGCGUUGUUCGGAAUUACUGGGCGUAAAGAGUGCGUAGGCGGUGCUCUAAGUCUGGUGUGAAAUCUCCCGGCUCAACUGGGAGGGUGCGCCGGAAACUGGAGUGCUCGAGUGUGGGAGAGGUAAGCGGAAUUCCUGGUGUAGCGGUGAAAUGCGUAGAUAUCAGGAGGAACACCUGUGGUGUAGACAGCUUACUGGACCAUGACUGACGCUGAGGCACGAAAGCGUGGGUAGCAAACAGGAUUAGAUACCCCUGUAGUCC